CUGCUCCGCUCAAAUGUCAAGGUCGCUGAGUUCUGCGAAUCUUUCAGGUUUCAGAGACGGAGAGAGAAGACCCGGCCGAGACUGAGAAGGUGCAACACUGGGUCGAGCAACUUUGUCAAACGCGACUGGAGCAGAUCUCCUGUGUCGAAAAUGACUCUCCCGAGAUUUCGCCCCCGCGCUCCCCGGCAUCUGAGCCAAAGGUAAAGCGGUUUGCUGGAGGGUUCAACUUGGCCACCACAGAUCUUGACGACAUCAACCUGGACGAGGUGGACCAGAGCCUGAGGGGCCCUCAGAUCAGACUGGCUCCCACUCAGCCCAGUUCCAACCAGCCUCCUCCCCCACUGCCCCUGCCUCCUCCCGCUCCCAAACUCAUCCCCGCCAGUGCUCCCAGCUACUCCCCUCAGCGCCGCCCCACAUCUCCCCCGUCCAGAGGAAAGUGCCUUCGGUUCCCUCCACUCUCACCAACAGGGGGCGCAAACCUCCGACAAAACAGCAAUCCCGUGCUCCCUUCUCCCAAUACCCUGGCGGUUCCCAUGCGUCCCGAAUGACCCGCCCGCCUUCAUCUCCCCAGCCGGCACCUCGCCCCACACCGCCGCCUCCACCACCCCCUCCCCCGCCCCCUCCUCCGCCUCCUCCACCCCCACCACAGCAGCACAAAGGCAGAGAGCCCCCCAUCGGCCGUACCGUCAGCUUGAACAGACCCACCCCCCUUUGCCGACGCCCAGCCCCUCUGAGCGCAGGAGCGAGUGGGAGACAGGCGGCUACCUCCCACGAGGAGGCAUCUACUCCUCCAACAACAGUGAGGUGUCCUACCCCUCAAGCCCCAAGGUAAUGAGAAAUACCUCCCAUGCGAGUCGUGUUUCAGCAACAAGUAAACCGUUGCAACUGGCCCCAAGCCCCCCCAACCAGCGUCGCCAGACAAACCCGAUGUCCAAGCCCGUCAUGCUUCCACAGUCACAGACGAACCGGCCAGACAUCCACAGAACUGCAGUCCGCUCGGAUGGUUUGGUAUGAUACAACAGAUCAUUGAGUUUUCUUUAAAAAUAAUCUCACAGUGGGGUAGAACACAGCAUGCAGAUAAAUGGCUGGAGCUCAGCGAGGCUUCUAGACUCUCCAGCUGUUUUCAUCAAUGACAACCGGGGAUACUUGAUCACACCAUAGUGAGGCCAUCUGUCGUCUGUCAGCAAAGUUUCCUUUAUAAAAUUUAAACAUGAGCCGCAGUGUAGCUCAGAUGUUACUACAGCGUGUUUCAGUGUGGUUUAAUUCUUACACACAAUUGUCUG
This 1283-nucleotide long non-coding RNA is filed under the name Neogobius melanostomus (round goby). RNAcentral describes it as "lncRNA (ENSNMLG00000022783.1)". The record is from RNAcentral. Lineage: Eukaryota; Metazoa; Chordata; Actinopteri; Gobiiformes; Gobiidae.